RNAcentral lists this ribosomal RNA (887 nucleotides) under Calonectria terrae-reginae. RNAcentral describes it as "eukaryotic LSU rRNA". It matches the Rfam family "Eukaryotic large subunit ribosomal RNA", at positions 58 to 978 of the family's 3401-position model. Lineage: Eukaryota; Fungi; Ascomycota; Sordariomycetes; Hypocreales; Nectriaceae. The record is from RNAcentral.
AAAGAAACCAACAGGGAUUGCCCUAGUAACGGCGAGUGAAGCGGCAACAGCUCAAAUUUGAAAUCUGGCCCUCGGGUCCGAGUUGUAAUUUGUAGAGGAUGCUUUUGGUGAGGUGCCUUCCGAGUUCCCUGGAACGGGACGCCAUAGAGGGUGAGAGCCCCGUCUGGUUGGACACCGAACCUCUGUAAAGCUCCUUCGACGAGUCGAGUAGUUUGGGAAUGCUGCUCUAAAUGGGAGGUAUAUGUCUUCUAAAGCUAAAUACCGGCCAGAGACCGAUAGCGCACAAGUAGAGUGAUCGAAAGAUGAAAAGCACUUUGAAAAGAGAGUUAAAAAGUACGUGAAAUUGUUGAAAGGGAAGCGCUUAUGACCAGACUUGGGCUUGGUUGAUCAUCCUGGGUUCUCCCUGGUGCACUCUUCCAGUUCAGGCCAGCAUCAGUUCGCUGCGGGGGAUAAAAGCUUUAGGAAUGUGGCUCCUUCGGGAGUGUUAUAGCCUAUUGCAUAAUACCCUGCUCCGGACUGAGGUUCGCGCAUCUGCAAGGAUGCUGGCGUAAUGGUCAUCAGCGACCCGUCUUGAAACACGGACCAAGGAGUCGUCUUCGUAUGCGAGUGUUCGGGUGUUAAACCCCUACGCGUAAUGAAAGUGAACGCAGGUGAGAGCUUCGGCGCAUCAUCGACCGAUCCUGAUGUUCUCGGAUGGAUUUGAGUAAGAGCAUACGGGGCCGGACCCGAAAGAAGGUGAACUAUGCCUGUAUAGGGUGAAGCCAGAGGAAACUCUGGUGGAGGCUCGCAGCGGUUCUGACGUGCAAAUCGAUCGUCAAAUAUGGGCAUGGGGCGAAAGACUAAUCGAACCUUCUAGUAGCUGGUUUCCGCCGAAGUUUCCCUCAGGA